RNAcentral lists this ribosomal RNA (751 nucleotides) under uncultured bacterium. Its description in RNAcentral is "bacterial SSU rRNA". It matches the Rfam family "Bacterial small subunit ribosomal RNA", at positions 28 to 776 of the family's 1533-position model. The record is from RNAcentral.
GAUGAAACGCUGGCUGUGUGCCUAAUACAUGCAUGUCGAGCGAAGCACUUUUGUGCUUAGCGGCGAAUGGGUGAGUAACACGUACUUAACCUACCCUCAAGAUUGGGACAACACUUGGAAACGAGUGCUAAUACCAAAUACGUAUUUUUAUCGCAUGAUAGAUAUAUAAAAGGAGCUUCGGCUUCACUAGAGGAUGGGAGUGCGCUACAUUAGUUAGUUGGUAGGGUAAUGGCCUACCAAGACUAUGAUGUAUAGCGGGGCCGAGAGGCUGAUCCGCCACACUGGGACUGAGAUACGGCCCAGACUCCUACGGGAGGCAGCAGUAGGGAAUUUUCCACAAUGAACGAAAGUUUGAUGGAGCGACACAGCGUGCAGGAUGAAGGUCUUCGGAUUGUAAACUGCUGUUAUAAGAGAAGAAAAACCCUGGUAGGUAAUGACCAGGACUUGACGGUACCUUAUCAGAAAGCGACGGCUAACUAUGUGCCAGCAGCCGCGGUAAUACAUAGGUCGCAAGCGUUAUCCGGAAUUAUUGGGCGUAAAGAGUUCGUAGGUGGUUUUGUAAGUCUGAAGUUAAAUACCGGGGCUCAACCCCGGCCCGCUUUGGAUACUGCAAAACUAGAGUAAUAGAGAGGUUAGUGGAACUCCAAGUGAAGCGGUGGAAUGCGUAGAUAUUUGGAAGAACACCAAUGGCGAAGGCAACUAACUGGAUAUUAACUGACACUGAGGAACGAAAGCGUGGGUAGCAAACAGG